GGGGCUGUAGCUCAGCUGGGAGAGCGAUACGUUCGCAACGUAUAGGUCGUGGGUUCGAAUCCCAUCAGCUCCAC
RNAcentral lists this transfer RNA (74 nucleotides) under bacterium ADurb.Bin431. Its description in RNAcentral is "tRNA-Ala". It matches the Rfam family "tRNA". Rfam says of the family: Transfer RNA (tRNA) molecules are approximately 80 nucleotides in length. Their secondary structure includes four short double-helical elements and three loops (D, anti-codon, and T loops). Further hydrogen bonds mediate the characteristic L-shaped molecular structure. tRNAs have two regions of fundamental functional importance: the anti-codon, which is responsible for specific mRNA codon recognition, and the 3' end, to which the tRNAs corresponding amino acid is attached (by aminoacyl-tRNA synthetases). tRNAs cope with the degeneracy of the genetic code in two manners: having more than one tRNA (with a specific anti-codon) for a particular amino acid; and 'wobble' base-pairing, i.e. permitting non-standard base-pairing at the 3rd anti-codon position. RNAcentral also lists the same sequence under 1 other name. The record is from RNAcentral.